CUUUUUGCGGUCUGGGCUUGCUGUUCUCAGUCAAAGUAACCAGGAAGCCCUUAUCCCAAAAAGAAU
This 66-nucleotide microRNA precursor is filed under the name Xenopus laevis (African clawed frog). RNAcentral's name for it is "Xla-Mir-129-P2d_pre stem-loop". It matches the Rfam family "mir-129 microRNA precursor family", at positions 7 to 72 of the family's 75-position model. Rfam says of the family: The mature sequence is excised from the 5' arm of the hairpin. The record is from RNAcentral. Lineage: Eukaryota; Metazoa; Chordata; Amphibia; Anura; Pipidae.